Long non-coding RNA from Gallus gallus (chicken), 1655 nucleotides. The record is from Ensembl. Lineage: Eukaryota; Metazoa; Chordata; Aves; Galliformes; Phasianidae.
GGGAAGGGCUCCGCCCGCAGCGCGAGGCCCGGAGGGGACGAGGGGGGAAUCCCUCUGCUAAAUCACGGCCCUGAGCACCACAUCCAGACGGAUUUUAAACACAUCCAGGGAUGGUGACUCCACCUCCUCCCUGGGGACCCCAUUCCAGUGCUUAACAACCCUUUCCGGAAAGAAGCUUUUCCUGAUAUCCAACCUAAACCUCCCCUGGUGCAACUUGAGGCCAUGUCCCGUCAGCUGUCAGCAGUGAGGAGAGACCAACCCCGCUCCCACCGCCAUCACCCUCCAGGUUUAAGGAGUGUUUUGGUUAGAAAGCGUGACCAAGAACCAUGAAGAAAGCAGUGUGAGCUGCUCAAGGAAGAGGCUGGCAACCCUGAACAAAAACCAGGAGCAUGGAGUUGUGAGAAAUCCUCAGGAAGGGCAAAAAAGCACAGUGAGUUUUCAUGCAGAACACAGGGAACGCAUCUGGAGGGAACAGGUGUUGAAAUGGAGCCUUCUCCUUGGAACCUGGGCACUGUUCCUCUCUCUGCCACAGAUCUCCACAGGGCCCUGGGUGUUUCUCUUGCAGUGGUGGUGUGAGCUUAGGCAAUACUAGAGGUAUCUAGAUGCACUGGAGCAUUGGGCCAUCAGCAACAGCAUGGAAUUUAACAUAAACAAGCAGCUGGCAAAUGCCAGAUUCUGCAAUAGGAACAGAGUAGCACUGCACAUAGGUUCAGACUGGGAGAUAAGCAGCUGGAGAGCAGCCCUGCAAGGGAGCAGCCUGGCAUGCUGGUUGACAGCAGUCUCAGUCUGAAUCUAUCUAUUCUGGGGUGCAUUACACAUAGCACAACCAGCCAUUCAAAAGAGGAGAUUCUCACACAUGUACCAUUGGUCUGGCCUCACUUAGAAUACUGUCUGCUGUUCUCAAUUUAAACAGGGUGUUAAGAUGCUUGAAUGUGUCCAGAGGAACACAACAGAGCUGGUAGAAGGGCAGGAAGGAAUGUCCUAUGAGAAGCAUCUGAGGACACUGGGUGUUAAGCUUGCAGGAGAGGUUGAGGAGUCACAGAAUCACAGAAUGGCCUGGGUUGAAAAGGACCAAAAUGAUCAUCAAAUUUCAACCCCCCUGCUAUGUGCAGGGUCACCAACCACCAGCCCAGGCUGCCCAGAGCCACAUCCAGCCUGGAUGUCACCUCACUGCUCUCCAUAACUGCCUGAGAAAGGAAAGUGUUCACCUUUCCUCUCUGUUAUCAGCACCAGGAUGCACAGCAAUGGAACAAAGCUGUGUUAGGGAAGGUUCAGACCGGACAUCAGGAAUAGCUUAUUUACUAUGAGGGUACUCAGACACUAGGACUGACUUCAUAGAGAGAUGGCUGUCCACGAUUAAGAGGCAUUUGGAUAACACCCUUCAACACAAUUUAACUCUGGUUCAGUUCCAGAGUAGCCUGCCAGCUGGAAGGGACCUACUAACAGAGAUUAUCGAGUCCAACUGCAACUAUUCUGUUCUGUACACAAUGCACUAGAAUGGGGCACCCAGUAACACCCAAACACCAGGUUAUUCACCACACAGAUCAGUGCUGUUACAUCUGCAUGGCAGAGGGAGGGGGGAGGGGAGGGCUCCUUCUGCCACCCUUUAGAAGAAAGUGUUCACAAAACUCUAUCACUGCUCUUUGCUCCAUCAG